AAUCCAUGCAUAGGACUUUCCUAAGCAAGUCUUUGAACCUUUCCCAUGCUUCAUACAGUGUUUCAUCCUCUAGUUUCUUGGAGGAUGUUAUAUCAUUUCUUAGUUU
Molecule: non-coding RNA, 106 nt
Organism: Gossypium raimondii (Peruvian cotton)
Lineage: Eukaryota; Viridiplantae; Streptophyta; Magnoliopsida; Malvales; Malvaceae
Source: Rfam